GGAGAAAUGGCCGAGCGGCUGAAGGCGCUCCCCUGCUAAGGGAGUAUAGGGUUUAUAGCUCUAUCGAGGGUUCGAAUCCCUCUUUCUCCGCCA
This 93-nucleotide transfer RNA is filed under the name bacterium. RNAcentral describes it as "tRNA-Ser". It matches the Rfam family "tRNA". From Rfam's summary of the family: Transfer RNA (tRNA) molecules are approximately 80 nucleotides in length. RNAcentral also lists the same sequence under 3 other names. The record is from RNAcentral.